RNAcentral lists this unclassified non-coding RNA (345 nucleotides) under soil metagenome. Its description in RNAcentral is "partial contains 5.8S ribosomal RNA, internal transcribed spacer 2, and large subunit ribosomal RNA". The stretch from base 1 to 121 matches the Rfam family "5.8S ribosomal RNA", at positions 35 to 154 of the family's 154-position model. The record is from RNAcentral.
GAUGAAGAACGUAGCGAAAUGCGAUAAGUAAUGCGAAUUGCAGAAUUUCCGUGAGUCAUCGAAUCUUUGAACGCACAUUGCGCCCACUGGUAUUCCGGUGGGCAUGCCUGUUCGAGCGUCAUUAUCCUCCCUCAAACCCCGGGUUUGGUGUUGGACCCAAGUUGUGUGAGCAACUGGUCUUAAAGACAAUGACGGCGUCCGUGGGACCCUCGGUGCAACGAGCUUUUAGGAGCACGCAUCGAGUUGCAAGGACCUUCCGGGCCGGUCUCCUUUACUAUUUUACAAGGUUGACCUCGGAUCAGGUAGGAAUACCCGCUGAACUUAAGCAUAUCAAUAAGCGGAGGA